GAUGAAGAACGUAGCGAAAUGCGAUACGUAAUGUGAAUUGCAGAAUUCAGUGAAUCAUCGAAUCUUUGAACGCACAUUGCACUCCUUGGUAUUCCGAGGAGUAUGCCUGUUUCAGUAUCAUGAGCACUCUCACAUCUAACCUUUGGGUUAAAAUGUGGAAUUGGGAUGCGCCGGUUAUUAUAACGGCCCUCCUAAAAUUCAGUUCUUGGCUGCUUCCUACUACAGCAGUUUGGCCUAAUAGUUUUGAGUCUUCGAUUCAAAUCUUUGGCUAACAUUUGCUUCAGGAUGUCAGUCUUGAUAUACAGAAAUCUCAUUCAAACUUUGCUCUGAAAUCAGGUAGGGCUACCCGCUGAACUUAAGCAUAUCAAUAAGCGGAGGA
Molecule: unclassified non-coding RNA, 379 nt
Filed under: soil metagenome
Description: partial contains 5.8S ribosomal RNA, internal transcribed spacer 2, and large subunit ribosomal RNA
Rfam family: 5.8S ribosomal RNA (bases 1-120)
Source: RNAcentral